This 1326-nucleotide ribosomal RNA is filed under the name Gymnopternus congruens. RNAcentral's name for it is "16S ribosomal RNA". The stretch from base 627 to 1326 matches the Rfam family "Archaeal large subunit ribosomal RNA", at positions 1423 to 2881 of the family's 2987-position model. The record is from RNAcentral. Lineage: Eukaryota; Metazoa; Arthropoda; Insecta; Diptera; Dolichopodidae.
UAAAUUGAUAAUAUAUAAUUAUUAAUAUUUUUUUUUAUUAUAUUAUUUUUAAAAAUAAUUAUUUAUUUGUUUUAGUAUUUUAUAAAAAACUAAUAAUUUUAAUAAUAGUUUAUUAUGUAUUGUGAGAGAAUUUUGAAAUAAUUGAAAAAUAUAUAAUAUAAAAGAAGAUUUAAUUUUUCGUACCUUGUGUAUCAGGGUUUAUUAAAUAAAAUUUUUGUAUAAAAAUUUUCUCGAAAGAAAAUGAUUUAAUUAAAUAUGAUAGUUAAUGUAAUAAAUUUAUUAUAAAUAUUUAGUUAGAAAUGAAAUGUUAUUCGAGUUUUCUGAUAUCUAGUUUUUUAAGAAAUAAAUUUAAUUUAGUCUUUAUUAAUGUAUUAAUUUAUUUAAUAAAUUUUUUAUUUAUUAAAGAUAAUAUUUAGCGGGAUGAGCUGUUAAAUAAAUUAUUAAAAAUUUUUUUAAUAUAAAAAUAUUUGUAUGCUUAGAAUUAGCAACCAUUAAAAAUUUUGUUAUAAAUUAUAUUUUUGGAUAUAUUAUUUAUUUUAUUUUAAAUAUUUUAUUAAAAUUUUAAAUUUAAUAUAAAAAUUUAAUUAAUAAUGAUAAAAUUAGUAUAUUUUUUUGUAUAUUUAAUUUUAAUUGGUAGGUUUUUAUAAGGAAUUCGGCAAAAAUUAUGUUCGCCUGUUUAACAAAAACAUGUCUUUUUGAGUUUAAUUUAAGGUCUGAUCUGCCCACUGAUAAUAUUUAAGGGCCGCAGUAUUCUGACUGUGCAAAGGUAGCAUAAUCAUUAGUCUUUUAAUUGAGGGCUUGUAUGAAUGAUUGGACGAGAUAUAAUCUGUCUCAUAAAAAUUUAAGUAGAAUUUUAUUUUUUAGUUAAAAAGCUAAAAUAAGUUUAAAAGACGAGAAGACCCUAUAGAUCUUUAUAAUUUAUUUAUUAAUUUUUUUAGGUUAUUUUUUAAUUUAAUAAAUUAAAUUAUUUUGUUGGGGUGACAGUGAAAUUUACAAAACUUUCAUAAUUUUUUUUACAUUGAUUUAUGAUAAAUUGAUCCAUUUUUAGUGAUUAAAAAUUUAAGUUACCUUAGGGAUAACAGCGUAAUUAUUUUGGAGAGUUCUUAUCGAUAAAAUAGUUUGCGACCUCGAUGUUGGAUUAAGAUUAAUUCUGGGUGUAGCAGUUCAGGUUAUUAAGUCUGUUCGACUUUUAAUUUCUUACAUGAUCUGAGUUCAAACCGGCGUGAGCCAGGUUGGUUUCUAUCUUUAAAUUAAUAUAAUACUUUAGUACGAAAGGACCAAGUAUUAAAAAUAUAGAUUUUUAAUAAGUUGAAUAUUAUUAAUAUA